This 253-nucleotide ribosomal RNA is filed under the name uncultured bacterium. Its description in RNAcentral is "partial 16S ribosomal RNA". It matches the Rfam family "Bacterial small subunit ribosomal RNA", at positions 524 to 776 of the family's 1533-position model. The record is from RNAcentral.
UACGGAGGGUGCAAGCGUUGUUCGGAAUUACUGGGCGUAAAGCGCGUGUAGGCGGCUUGGCAAGUCGGGUGUGAAAGCCCGGGGCUCAACCCCGGAACUGCAUUCGAAACUGCCUGGCUAGAGUCCCGGAGAGGGUGGUGGAAUUCCCAGUGUAGAGGUGAAAUUCGUAGAUAUUGGGAGGAACACCAGUGGCGAAGGCGGCCACCUGGACGGUGACUGACGCUGAGACGCGAAAGCGUGGGGAGCAAACAGG